This 493-nucleotide ribosomal RNA is filed under the name uncultured bacterium. RNAcentral describes it as "partial 16S ribosomal RNA". It matches the Rfam family "Bacterial small subunit ribosomal RNA", at positions 29 to 507 of the family's 1533-position model. The record is from RNAcentral.
ACGAACGCUGGCGGCGUGCUUAACACAUGCAAGUCGAACGGUGAAGCGCCUUCCUUUUUGGUGGGUGUGGAUGAAUGGCGAACGGGUGAGUAACACGUGAGUAACCUGCCCCCUUCUUCUGGAUAACCGCAUGAAAGUGUGGCUAAUACGGGAUAUUCUGGGUCUGUCGCAUGAUGGGUCUGGGAAAGAUAUUGUUUCGGUGGGGGAUGGGCUCGCGGCCUAUCAGCUUGUUGGUGGGGUGAUGGCCUACCAAGGCGGUGACGGGUAGCCGGCCUGAGAGGGUGGACGGUCACACUGGGACUGAGACACGGCCCAGACUCCUACGGGAGGCAGCAGUGGGGAAUAUUGCACAAUGGGCGCAAGCCUGAUGCAGCGACGCCGCGUGAGGGAUGGAGGCCUUCGGGUUGUGAACCUCUUUCGCCAGUGAAGCAGGCCUGCCUCGUUUGUGGGUGGGUUGACGGUAGCUGGAUAAGAAGCGCCGGCUAACUACGUG